UUAAGCCUGCAUGUCUCAGUAUAAGCUUCUAUACGGCGAAACUGCGAAUGGCUCAUUAAAACAGUUAUAGUUUAUUUGGUGGUCAGCAAUUACAUGGAUAACCGUGGUAAUUCUAGAGCUAAUACAUGCGCCCAAACCCGACUUCGUGGAAGGGUUGUGUUUAUUAGAUACAGAACCAACCCAGGCUCCGCCUGGCCUUGAGGUGAUUCAUAAUAACCGAACGAAUCGCAUGGCUAUGCCGGCGAUAGACCAUUCAAGUUUCUGACCUAUCAGCUAUCGUCGGUAGGGUAUUGGCCUACCGUGGCAAUGACGGGUAACGGAGAAUUAGGGUUCGAUUCCGGAGAGGGAGCCUGAGAAACGGCUACCACAUCUAAGGAAGGCAGCAGGCGCGCAAAUUACCCAAUCCUGACGCAGGGAGGUAGUGACAAGAAAUAACAAUACAGGGCAUACAUGUCUUGUAAUUGGAAUGAGUAAACUUUAAAUCACUUUACGAGUAUCAAUUGGAGGG
Molecule: ribosomal RNA, 508 nt
Filed under: uncultured eukaryote
Lineage: Eukaryota
Description: SSU rRNA
Rfam family: Eukaryotic small subunit ribosomal RNA
Source: RNAcentral